GUAAUCGACCUGCAGACGGUCUAGUAUACUGUCAGGUUUGAUGGUGAGCAGACGUGCCAGCCCCUCUCUUCAGUGCAUCCCUAUUUUCUGAGGAACCACUAGGGUCAAGGACGACCCACAUCUUAGUAGAAAGUCAUGGCUUCUAGGGCACGCAGAGGUCUGAGUACGGCCGAAAUCAAUGAAGUCAUUGCUCAAUAUGGAAGCGAUGAUUUUGAUGGCAGUUACGUUUCAUUUGGCUGACACGUAGCAGGGACAUCUUCCUGCCAUUGGCCACAUCAAGCUGCGCAAGCGUGUUCGCUGCCGAAGUUGCCCAUCUAGAGACGACCACAAGACGAACACAGCAUGUUUGCGAUGCAAACGGGCCUGUGUUCCUACAGCAUCAAACUGUCUUGUGUCCGAAGUGUGUGCCUCGUACGUAGGUAGCAAAUUUGGCCGUCGCACUUGUCGUGGGUGGGGCCCCAUUUACAGUACAUAUCCAUUAGGUAGCAAAUUUGGCCGUCGCACUUGUCUUGGGUGGGGGCCCAUUUACUGUAUAUAUCAAUUAGAUUUUGACCUCUAUGGGUCCGACACCUUUUCUGGCUGUGGAGACUUGUAAAUUGUAGUUUUAGGAAGGAUUCCCUCAAUUUAUUUUCUUAUACAGGUUAUUUUGUAUUUUUUAUAAAUAUUUUU
This is a long non-coding RNA of Macrobrachium nipponense, 669 nucleotides long. RefSeq lists it as uncharacterized. The record is from RefSeq and is a predicted model, not a curated record. The transcript has 5 exons. Lineage: Eukaryota; Metazoa; Arthropoda; Malacostraca; Decapoda; Palaemonidae.